GCAGGAAGAAACAAAUAAAAUGUAAAUAAAGAAUAGCUUACCUUUAGACUUCGGUACAUGUUUUUUCCUAAAAAGGCAAGGAAGAUGAACACAAUAUGUAUACUCAGUAGUCGGGCUUGAUGACUUAACAACCUAACGACAACAGCAAAAGAAUACAUUAGAUUCAGAAAAUCAUCUAUUGUAACAAGCCAUGAAUCGACCAUUUGAAUUAUCUGUCGAGGAUAAUGACAACAACAGGAAAAACACACAUUAAAAUCACAGACCACAAAUUGACACAUGGGGUACACUCAAGUAAGUGUGAACAAAUGUACUUGUCAGAUAGUACUGUCAUACAACAAACUUCAGAAUUUAGUACAUCUCUGAAAUCAGGCCAAAGUCUCAUAACAUAAAAUCGUCUUCAGUUAGUAGUGUCGUAGAUCAAAUGUCAGUCAUCUUUCCAAUCACACAUAUGAGUAAAUUGCUUGAGAGAUAAAGCCAGUUGCUUGCUCUGAAACAAAAAGGAAACCAUAUAGCAGACAGUCAGUUGCUUUCUCCAAAAUGAAAGGGAAACAAAAAAGAAAUCAAUCUCAAAGCUUACCGCCUGAAUAAUCUUGAGAAUAGGAGGAUCCUUUAAUGUGAAGAUCCUUCGCAAAGGCCCAUUGAAAUAUACAAAGAUCAUCAACACCUAGCAGCGCAAAGCAUUCUCAUAUGAAAGUCUCUAAAUAUUACAUGGUACAUUUCCUCAAUACAGUAAUUGGUCCACUUUCAUGAACAUCAAUUCUAUGGUUUCCAUUGGUUGUAAGUACCAUGAUUUGAC
RNAcentral lists this long non-coding RNA (796 nucleotides) under Triticum aestivum (bread wheat). Its description in RNAcentral is "long non-coding RNA (TAES_LNC006880)". The record is from RNAcentral. Lineage: Eukaryota; Viridiplantae; Streptophyta; Magnoliopsida; Poales; Poaceae.